RNAcentral lists this small RNA (551 nucleotides) under Lodderomyces parapsilosis. Its description in RNAcentral is "eukaryotic LSU rRNA". The stretch from base 209 to 362 matches the Rfam family "5.8S ribosomal RNA". Lineage: Eukaryota; Fungi; Ascomycota; Pichiomycetes; Serinales; Debaryomycetaceae. The record is from RNAcentral.
UUUGAAANGNUAAAGUCGUAACAAGGUUUCCGUAGGUGAACCUGCGGAAGGAUCAUUACAGAAUGAAAAGUGCUUAACUGCAUUUUUUCUUACACAUGUGUUUUUCUUUUUUUGAAAACUUUGCUUUGGUAGGCCUUCUAUAUGGGGCCUGCCAGAGAUUAAACUCAACCAAAUUUUAUUUAAUGUCAACCGAUUAUUUAAUAGUCAAAACUUUCAACAACGGAUCUCUUGGUUCUCGCAUCGAUGAAGAACGCAGCGAAAUGCGAUAAGUAAUAUGAAUUGCAGAUAUUCGUGAAUCAUCGAAUCUUUGAACGCACAUUGCGCCCUUUGGUAUUCCAAAGGGCAUGCCUGUUUGAGCGUCAUUUCUCCCUCAAACCCUCGGGUUUGGUGUUGAGCGAUACGCUGGGUUUGCUUGAAAGAAAGGCGGAGUAUAAACUAAUGGAUAGGUUUUUUCCACUCAUUGGUACAAACUCCAAAACUUCUUCCAAAUUCGACCUCAAAUCAGGUAGGACUACCCGCUGAACUUAAGCAUAUCAAUAGCGGGGAAGGAA